GCCCGCUCAGAAACUCGAAAGGAAUUGACGGGGACCCGCACAAGCGGUGGAUGAUGUGGUUUAAUUCGAUGCAACGCGAAAAACCUUACCCACCUUUGACAUGUACGGAAUUUGCCAGAGAUGGCUCAGUGCUCGAAAGAGAACCGUAACACAGGUGCUGCAUGGCUGUCGUCAGCUCGUGUCGUGAGAUGUUGGGUUAAGUCCCGCAACGAGCGCAACCCUUGUCAUUAGUUGCUACGAAAGGGCACUCUAAUGAGACUGCCGGUGACAAACCGGAGGAAGGUGGGGAUGACGUCAAGUCCUCAUGGCCCUUAUAGGUGGGGCUACACACGUCAUACAAUGGCUGGUACAGAGGGUUGCCAACCCGCGAGGGGGGGCCAAUCCCAUAAAACCAGUCGUAGUCCGGAUCGCAGUCUGCAACUCGACUGCGUGAAGUCGGAAUCGCUAGUAAUCGCGGAUCAGAAUGUCGCGGUGAAUACGUUCCCGGGUCUU
Molecule: ribosomal RNA, 492 nt
Filed under: uncultured Comamonadaceae bacterium
Lineage: Bacteria; Pseudomonadati; Pseudomonadota; Betaproteobacteria; Burkholderiales; Comamonadaceae
Description: bacterial SSU rRNA
Rfam family: Bacterial small subunit ribosomal RNA
Source: RNAcentral